GAUUCUGUAGCUCAGCAGGUAGAGCAUCUGCCUUUUAAGCAGAGGGUCCCGAGUUCGAGCCUCGGCAGGAUCA
Molecule: transfer RNA, 73 nt
Filed under: Bacteroidales bacterium
Lineage: Bacteria; Pseudomonadati; Bacteroidota; Bacteroidia; Bacteroidales
Also listed under: 1 other name
Description: tRNA-Lys
Rfam family: tRNA
About the family: Transfer RNA (tRNA) molecules are approximately 80 nucleotides in length. Their secondary structure includes four short double-helical elements and three loops (D, anti-codon, and T loops). Further hydrogen bonds mediate the characteristic L-shaped molecular structure. tRNAs have two regions of fundamental functional importance: the anti-codon, which is responsible for specific mRNA codon recognition, and the 3' end, to which the tRNAs corresponding amino acid is attached (by aminoacyl-tRNA synthetases). tRNAs cope with the degeneracy of the genetic code in two manners: having more than one tRNA (with a specific anti-codon) for a particular amino acid; and 'wobble' base-pairing, i.e. permitting non-standard base-pairing at the 3rd anti-codon position.
Source: RNAcentral